RNA transcript from Syzygium oleosum, 2672 nucleotides. It is a transcript of the gene named ferredoxin-dependent glutamate synthase-like, with no coding region annotated. NCBI's taxonomy places the organism in Eukaryota, Viridiplantae, Streptophyta, Magnoliopsida, Myrtales, Myrtaceae. The record is from RefSeq and is a predicted model, not a curated record. The transcript has 4 exons.
AGUUGAUGUAGAGAAUAACCAGUGUUCGUCAUGGGUUACAAACGAGUGCACUGUCCCCUGGUCCCUUUAGAUGAACAAAUGGGAUGAAAUAGUUCGCGUGCCUUGAUAUGCUUUCACUUCUUUUUCUUGAAGCAGUUAAUGAGGAACCAUUUAGGAGUUAGAAUUGUGACGUUGCUGCUGGUUUCAUAUGUUCUUCUAAAAUGUACUACACGGGACUGAUCACCUGUGGCUUAUACAUCAUUCUAAGUCAGGAAGUUAAUGUUCAUUUUGAGUAUGGAAGAGUGCAUAUACCCGUGAAUGAUCAUCAGUGAUGCCAAAAAUUUCUAGAUGAAGGCACCUUUAUUUCUUGCUUCAAGUGUGAGCAUGGCUAUUUGAGGUUAGACUUAGUAUUUUUGCUUCCAAGUGUGAGCAUUGAUUGCACAAUUUCAUGUAAUUACCAUGGAAGUUAGUGUUUGAUGUGGUGGAUUUGCCUUUUCCCUCCACAGUUAUUGUAAAUAUCUUCAGACAAGAAGGUCUUGAGGUGCUUGGAUGGAGGCCUGUCCCUGUAGACUCAUCCGUAGUUGGUUUCUAUGCAAAAGAAACCAUGCCUGACAUACAGCAGGUAUUUGUGAGAGUUGUAAAAGAAGACAGUGUUGAUGACAUUGAAUGAGAACUAUACAUUGCCGGAAAUUGAUUGAAAAGGCCGCAAGUACGGAAAACUGGGGAAAUGAGCCCUAUGUUUGUUCUCUCUCGAAUCAAAUGCUAGUUUACAAAGGAAUGCUUCGGUCAGAAGUUCUUGGUUUAUUUUACUUGGAUCUUAAGAAUGAUAUGUAUGCAUCAUCUUUCGCUAUAUACCACAGAAGGUAUAGUACAAACACUAGCCCCAGGUGGCCUCUUGCUUAGCCAAUGAGGUUUCUUGGUCAUAAUGGAGAAAUCAACACCAUACAGGGCAACUUGAAUCGGAUGCAAUCUUGUGAAAACUCAUUAAAGUCCCCUAUUUGGCAUGGUCGUGAGAAUGAAAUCCGUCCUUUUGGUAAUCCCAAAGCGUCGGACUCUGCAAACCUUGAUAGUGCAGCAGAAGUACGUGUCAUCUUUCUCGUGGUUCAUCAUAGGUUAUUUUUGUUUUUCGAACCUUCACUAUCUUCAUGCUUAUACACUUUCAUGAGUCAUCAUCUUAUCUUUCACUUUAUUAGCUAUGAAACUUGUUGGAUAAUUAAGAAAGAAAUUGAAAAUGUGAUUUUUUUUAUAUAAAGGAGUGUGUAACUUAGGUCAAUCAGUUGCUUUUUGUCAGUGCUUUUUUGGAUGCUACUGAGUGCGUAACUUUUCUAUUAAUGUGUAGAAUGUUCCAGAUACGAAGUCUUUUUGUGUGGUCAUCUAAUGUGGCAUAUAUAACUACGUGUUCCUCUCUUUAUUGCUGCAUAAUGAUGCGGUUGAGUUUAAUUUGACAGUGAAACCUAGACACAACUCUCCUGCAAUGAUAACGGCAAUGUAUCCAAAAGCUUAUGCUGUUGGGCACACAAACUAGAAAUGUAUAUCUACUACAAAUUAUGACCCAAAAAAAAAAAACUGGUGCAAUUUGUUUGCUAUAUGAUGUGGUUAUCGAAGCAUGUUGAUAUCAAGUGAGCUAGUCUCUGUCUUCUUAAGAUAUAUUUCCAGAUAAAAUUUAUUAUUGUACAUUUUUUGAAGCUUUGUGCAUUUGUGGUUGGUUAGUUUAGAAACCUUUCACAUCUUUUCAAAUUUUGAGCUUAAGAUUAAUAAAUUAAGUCUUAAAUAAAAUUUGAAAUUAGUAUAUGCAAGCCUACAGGCCAAUACUUAAAUAGGGCCAAUAUUUAAAAAUUGUUGUUAUGUGUCUUUGGUGGUUUUGGUGUCUUAACCUCCUUCGUCCUGUCUCUCUUCCAUGAUUGCGAGAUUCGUUUGCUGGACUGAUGUUUACCACCUUUGCUGAAUUACAAAGCUCAAUGGGGAACACGAUAGGAGAGCGUUACGAUCACUUCUAAUGACCGAUAAAGCAAGACCCUAAAUUAUGCAUUCUCUGUUGUAAAAGUUCCCCAUGUUUUCUGUGCAUCUUUAUUUCUUUCAUACUUUUGCCUGUUUUUAUCUAUGAUUGAAACCAAUGGAUGAUCAAUCUACUGUUUCAGUCUCUUGGUUUCCUUCAUGAAUCCUCAUUCUCUUUGUUGGUUCAGUUGUUGAUAAGAAGUGGCCGAGCUCCUGAGGAGUCUCUAAUGAUUCUUGUUCCAGAAGUAUAUAAGAACCAUCCUACUUUAUCGAUCAAAUACCCUGAGGUGGUUGACUUUUAUGAGUACUACAAGGGUCAGAUGGAGGCUUGGGAUGGACCAGCAUUGCUUUUAUUCAGGUGCGGUACCUAAAGAUUAUUGAGAAGACCGGCUACCAGGCUCUUCCCUAGGUGAGAUACAUUACAAUGGCAAGCAAGUAUGAACUGAGCCUAAUUUGAGGUAGAUUUACUAGACAUGCCAAGACUGAUGGACAAUGACUGAAGCUUCACAAAAUGCAGGCUUUUCGAAGAGUGGUUUGAUGCGGAUAAUAUCGAUUUUCUUGUUUUUCGACGUUGUAUAAUUAUUCUUUUGGUUGGGCUUAAUUGUUGGUGGUUCCCCAAAUAUGUAAUACUCACAUACUUUUGAUAGAUUUACCAUUUUGAUAUUGUGAAUGAAUGUACUGUCGAGAUCUUCGAUUAA